UACGGGGGGGGCAAGCGUUGUUCGGAAUUACUGGGCGUAAAGGGCGCGUAGGCGGUGCUCUAAGUCGGAUGUGAAAACUCUGGGCUCAACCCAGAGCCUGCAUCCGAAACUGGAGUGCUAGAGUUCUGGAGGGGGUAGCGGAAUUCCUGGUGUAGCGGUGAAAUGCGUAGAUAUCAGGAGGAACACCGGUGGCGAAGGCGGGUCUCUGGGCAGUAACUGACGCUGAGAAGCGAAAGCGUGGGGAGCGAACAGG
RNAcentral lists this ribosomal RNA (253 nucleotides) under uncultured bacterium. Its description in RNAcentral is "partial 16S ribosomal RNA". It matches the Rfam family "Bacterial small subunit ribosomal RNA", at positions 524 to 776 of the family's 1533-position model. The record is from RNAcentral.